AUGUUGAUCUAUAUAAUCAUACUUUUAUCUGUUGAAGGUAACAAAGCCAAUAUAAUCACCUCAAACAAAGACACCGAAUUUGCUAUUGAGGGGGACAGUGUAAAGCUCUCUUGUAACUACAACGGUUCUGUUCGUGGUCUUCACUGGUAUCGGCAGUAUGUGGGUUCAUCACCACAGUUCCUCAUUCUAGUCGCGUAUGGAAAAACUACCCCAGCAGAUCCUCCAGUUUCUGGAAUCUCAAUCAAUCACAGAAACGAUGACAAUAGUGUUGAUCUGAAGAUUCUCUCUUCUGCUGUAACUGACUCUGCUCUGUACUACUGUGCUCUGGAGCCCACAAUGACAGGAAAUGCACUGCACAUUGUACAAAAAGCUUUUUAA
Molecule: non-coding RNA, 378 nt
Organism: Xyrauchen texanus (razorback sucker)
Lineage: Eukaryota; Metazoa; Chordata; Actinopteri; Cypriniformes; Catostomidae
Source: the annotation of a RefSeq genome assembly